GCAACAUCUUGAGGCACCUGUGCUGUUUUCCAUCUGCAGGUGCAGCAUGGAUCUGUCCUCGUGCUGCUGCAGCCGGUGUGGUUGGAAGGGCACCAGGGACCUGGCUCUGACCGCAGGCUCACAGCAGUACCUAGUGCUGGUCUGACCCCAAACACUCCUGUGGAACAUCUCCCAUAGCAUCAAUCACAAGUGCAGAAAAAUGCGCCGUGUCUCAUUGGUAUAAAUCAGUUGUGAACCUGUUGAGAUCAAUACGGUAAUACUAAUGGAGAAAUGGUGAGACAAGCUUUGAAAUUAAACUCUAUGGCCAAGAUAAAUUCACAUUGAAACCUUGAGCUUUUGCCAGCAUGAAUCUGAAGGAUACUGUAUAUUUAUCCUAUCCGUCCAGAAAGAUGAAACAGCUGAAUAUUUUCCCUAUAGAGCAAGACAUCCCUGAAUGUUGCUUGUACCGAUUAAUCAUCUUAAAACCAGACUGA
Molecule: long non-coding RNA, 473 nt
Filed under: Anas platyrhynchos platyrhynchos (common mallard)
Lineage: Eukaryota; Metazoa; Chordata; Aves; Anseriformes; Anatidae
Description: lncRNA (ENSAPLG00000028641.1)
Source: RNAcentral